RNAcentral lists this ribosomal RNA (678 nucleotides) under uncultured Clostridium sp. RNAcentral's name for it is "bacterial SSU rRNA". It matches the Rfam family "Bacterial small subunit ribosomal RNA", at positions 61 to 756 of the family's 1533-position model. Lineage: Bacteria; Bacillati; Bacillota; Clostridia; Eubacteriales; Clostridiaceae. The record is from RNAcentral.
GUCGAGCGAUGAAGCUCCUUCGGGAGCGGAUUAGCGGCGGACGGGUGAGUAACACGUGGGUAACCUGCCUCAUAGAGGGGAAUAGCCUUUCGAAAGGAAGAUUAAUACCGCAUAAGAUUGUAGUGCCGCAUGGCAUAGCAAUUAAAGGAGUAAUCCGCUAUGAGAUGGACCCGCGUCGCAUUAGCUAGUUGGUGAGGUAACGGCUCACCAAGGCGACGAUGCGUAGCCGACCUGAGAGGGUGAUCGGCCACAUUGGGACUGAGACACGGCCCAGACUCCUACGGGAGGCAGCAGUGGGGAAUAUUGCACAAUGGGGGAAACCCUGAUGCAGCAACGCCGCGUGAGUGAUGACGGUCUUCGGAUUGUAAAGCUCUGUCUUCAGGGACGAUAAUGACGGUACCUGAGGAGGAAGCCACGGCUAACUACGUGCCAGCAGCCGCGGUAAUACGUAGGUGGCAAGCGUUGUCCGGAUUUACUGGGCGUAAAGGGAGCGUAGGUGGAUAUUUAAGUGGGAUGUGAAAUACUCGGGCUUAACCUGGGUGCUGCAUUCCAAACUGGAUAUCUAGAGUGCAGGAGAGGAAAGUAGAAUUCCUAGUGUAGCGGUGAAAUGCGUAGAGAUUAGGAAGAAUACCAGUGGCGAAGGCGACUUUCUGGACUGUAACUGACACUGAGGCUCGA